This 252-nucleotide ribosomal RNA is filed under the name uncultured bacterium. RNAcentral describes it as "partial 16S ribosomal RNA". It matches the Rfam family "Bacterial small subunit ribosomal RNA", at positions 524 to 776 of the family's 1533-position model. The record is from RNAcentral.
UACGUAGGUGGCAAGCGUUAUCCGGAAUGAUUGGGCGUAAAGGGUGCGCAGGCGGAUGUAUAAGUCUGAAGUAAAAGCCAUCGGCUCAACCGAUGUAAGCUUUGGAAACUGUAGAUCUAGAGUGCAGGAGAGGACAGUGGAAUUCCAUGUGUAGCGGUAAAAUGCGUAGAUAUAUGGAGGAACACCAGUGGCGAAGGCGGCUGUCUGGCCUGUAACUGACGCUGAGGCACGAAAGCGUGGGGAGCAAAUAGG